UGGAAGAAGCAAGUUGUGGUGGUGGAGGGAGUAACAAGCUAAAGCUUGGCAUUGGAGUUGGGCUAAAGCCCUUUUGGUGGUUCAAUGAAACGCAGUUUCAUACUGCGUUGAGGCAAAGCUGACGGGGUCUUCUAUUCCCCUUUUCAUUUGGACAAAAUAUCGUGCAAGGGUUUUCACCCAAUUCUCUCUACCCACGAGCUAGGGUUCAUCAAGCGCAGUGAGAAGAAAGAUGCAGAGCAGCGACGCGAGCUCUAUGGGUCACAUAGGAAGACAACCCAGAAGGAUGAUCGGCCCAGAAAUGUGAUCAGAGAAGUGCGAAGCUCGAACGGAUGAAGUUUCAGAGUUCGUUGGAGGACACUCAAGAAGCGACCCUCCCUUUGGUCAUAACCCAACAUUAGGUAGCAAGUUCAUAGAUAAGGCCUUUGGGUUUAACCCAAAGCUCCUAAAUCUUAUAGUAGCACCAAAGAUACAGAGGGGAUUGCACGAGGGCACGUUUUCCCUUUUCAAUCAGGUACACAAGGUUUUGGGUUCUCCUUGUAGUGCUGUAGCAGAGGUGCCAAAAGAGCUUAGAUGAUUCUAAGCUGAAAGAACUGAAAAAUGAAGUAGAUUCUCUAAAAAUAUAAAAGGUCUUAUGCUUUGGUUGUGACUCUACUUGUCUGGGCACAAUGGAGAAAAUACGACUAUCGUACAUCUAGUUAUGAUUACUCACAGCUAAUUGGUGUUGAAAAGGAAUGGCAUGCCAUACUAUCGGAGCUUCAAAUGAUGAAUACAAAUUGAUUGCCAGUUGUCACAGCACCUACAUUCUGAAAAUAAGCUGAGCAAAAGGUUUCCCAUUGGAUUAGAAGAACAGAUAAAGAAAUGGGAUGCAGAUAAAAUAAGGAAGUUUCAUAAGCGUUGGUAUUUUUCCCUGCAAAGGUUACCCUGUACAUUGUGGGGGAUAUUGAUAACAUAUCAAAGACUGUUUACCAGAUUGAAGUAUGUCCUCCAUAUUCUAAUUAAUAAGCUGCUAAUGAUCAUGGUUAUACUAUGUAGGAAUCUUUUGCAAUAAACCCUUGUCAAACAGGUAGUUUGUGGACAAGCCGGUGUAGACAAUGAGAAAGGUUCUAUAGCCAGUCCAAGUGCAUUUGGUGCAAAUGGUCAGUUUACUUGUUCCAAAGCUUUCUGUUGGUUUGGGUGGAAAUUCUAUUGAAAGAUCAGCAGUGGAUCAAUCCAAAAUAUUCAAUAAGGAAAGGCAAGCUGUCCGUCCUCUAAAGCAUAAUUUGUCACUUCCGGGGAGUGGUUCUGACUUGAAGCCACCACAAAUAUUUCAGCAUGAGUUACUUCAAAAAAUUUCAAUUAAUUUGUUCUCUUAUUUCUUAGUCAAACUUACAGUGCAGAUUUUUGUAGUUACUUUUUGUUUUGCAUGUGCUUAAAAUUUUUGGAGCUGACGUAGUUGGAGACUUCUUGUGGUGGAGAAAUGGACAACGGAUCAUGUUGGACCUAACUCAAAAGGAUAGGAACAUGUGAUUUACUAGUUCAUUUCAAGGUCUACUGGUUUAAUGAACAAUUUGAAUAAAAUAUUGUCAUAUUCAUAUAGCUUUAGUGUUGAGCAAUAACCUUUAUAGGCAAGUUGGAAUUCUAUCCAACUUGUGCUUCUCAUGCAUCUUCUUAUGGCACUAAAACCUUCUUGCUUUAAAUGUUGUCAAGUACUUGCUAGAAUAUUUGUAGUGGCAAGUUAUGUCAUUCUAUAGCAGCAAUGUGGCGUAGAUCAGCCUCCCGCCGAUUAAAAAACUCUUGCAAUGUUGCAUCAUUUUCUGCUUCUAGCAAAUUCUUAGACUGAGCAGUUAUGAAAUCCCUUUUUGUCUAUGCUUUAUAACAUGACAUACUCCUUUUUUGCAGAGCUUUUAUUAUUUUACUCUUUUUUAUGUUUGCAUACAAAGAAUUCUACAGCUACGGUCUCUUCCCCCAUAAAAAAGGGUGUAUCUUAAAAUUUGUGUUUUGAAUUUGACUCAACUCUAUAAAAAUAGCUUAAAAGAUUAUCAUCAAUCCAGAUGAUAGUUAUGAUCUGAGAGAUGGGGAUGAAGUCCUUGUCUAUACUCCAAGUCGUCUUCCAAAGGUUAUGUUUACGUUUCAACUUCUCUUACUGAACUGGUUCCAUAUAUGAUUUCCUUAUUGGGAAAUAUGCUGAUUUGGUGCAUAGAAUCUUGUAUAUGUUGUGCACUCUCUUGGAUCUAUUAAAUUAAUCAUAGUAUUAGUAGGUGAAUUGUGAGACAUUACCUUGUGUUUUUAAUGUUAUAUACUUUUUACAGGUAUGUAAGGGACUUUGGUCGAGGAUACGUGAUCUACCUAAAUUUCCAGUGAAGAUAUUAUUUUGUGGCUGGUGCCGUGAUAUUGAUGAUAUGAUCAUGGUUUUAGAGGCAGGCACUCUUGGCUCCUGGUUCAGAGCUUUGGAUCUUCAACAAGGUCCUUGAAAAGGAAACGAGAGAAGAAGCUUGUUGAUGGUGGACAUGAUGUUUCUGAGAUAGAAAACAUAAAACUUGUCCAUAGGGCGGGGAAUGCUAUAGUUUGGUGGCAUGGGGAGGGUCUUCCACAGGAGACUUUUGAUUCUCUAAAUUUUGAAUCUUUAUCUCUUCAUAUUUGUUGAAGUAUAAUGUCUUUAUUAUUAUUAAUAUUUAUGUUAGGGUUUUGUUAGGGGCUUCCUGCCCUUUUACUUUCUAGAACUACUGUCUCUUAUAAAUACAGUAGUAAGUUGUAUCAGGUUUUUCUUAAUGAAAAAUAAGACUUUUCAUCUUCCCUCAACCCUGCAAGUUGGUAUUAAGAUAUUUUUGCUAAUGAUGUACAACGUCUUUUCGAUGCAAUCUAAAGAGCAACUUCUCUCAAACAAGUCAACCAUGAUAUGGUUUCCCAUAUAGCAAAAGCUCGGGCUGCGGUAGAAGAGUUAAAGAACUUCUUUAUAGUUGAUUCAUUAGAGAAUAUCAACAAAAAACAUGACAAGUUUU
Molecule: long non-coding RNA, 2978 nt
Organism: Vigna angularis (adzuki bean)
Lineage: Eukaryota; Viridiplantae; Streptophyta; Magnoliopsida; Fabales; Fabaceae
Exons: 7
Source: RefSeq, a predicted model, not a curated record